UCUGUACUGACAAUAAUAAUUCUGGACCAGCCAAAAAGACAAGAUUAUUAUUUGGACGCUUGAAACAGAAAACGUUUGUCUGACUCGGAUUCACAAUAAUAAUCUCCGACUUCAGAUUGGCAGAUAUUAUAUGAAGCGUGAAGGCAGAUAUUAUUUGAAGCGUGACGAAAAGAAGCACCCCAUUGAGAGAGAUUAGCACGUGACGCAAGCGGCACGUAUGAUUACAGUACUUUAUUGUCUGACAGACCUAACCGUUAUUCAACUUAUUGACUCAUGGAUAGAGAUGUGUGAUUUGCAAUUCCAGGCUUUUGACCAACAGAUUUAGCACGUGCCUGACUUCAAUGUAAACAAACUCUUACGCCUUUCUGGAUGAAUAAGUAUUUUUUUGUAAGAAAAUGAUUAUUAAGAACAGUACUACAUGGUGUGAAAGUAAAACCUCUGAGAAGUUUUCUUGAAGGAAACAGGGUCAGGUUAAAGGUGGGUAACUUUUGGUAAUAUAUAUAUAGGCAAAAUUAAAGAGUGGUGCAACCUGCAGAAGGGAUAAGGAAUCCUCAGACCGAAGUGUUCGCUGAGAACGGUAGACUUGAACCAGUGGCUGGAGCUCGAGGGCUGGAGAGUUGACGUUGGUGAAUAUAGCUUUAGGAGAUAAUGUCCUUGACCUCCUGGUUUUGAUGAGCAUUGUCCUUGACCUCCGUGGUUGUAGUGGACAUUAUUGUAGUGGACACUGUCUUCAGUAGCAGUGAACUCCUGCGUCCUCGUAGUGACUACAUUUAUGCGUACCCCAUCCACCGGACCCACAGUCAAAUAGGGACAGCUCGUUUCCGCGACAGCUGAGGUAACUCAGCCAAAUGGGGCCACUCCCAGGACCGAAGGACUGUUUGUACAACCGGGCGGAUCCUCCCAAACUAAAGAAUAAAUCAUAUAAUAAGAACACUGCUCACAAUAUUACAAAGCCAAGUCAGUUUAGCAUCGUUAUUUUUUAUUUAGUAAGUCAUCAUUCUUUCGAUUAGUCAUCCUUGAUCUUUUGGAAUAUAAAGUUGAUGGGAAAAAAUAUAAGUUUAUGAUUCAUACUAUUUUGAAAUUUAAAAGUUUAAAGGUAGCUCAUUACACCAAAAUCUUAUUAUGAAGUAUGGUUCACCAUCGAAAGAGUGAUACAAGCUCUCAAUUAUUUUAAAUGAUUUUUUUUUGUAUUAUUUUCCGGAAUGAUAAAAAUGGUGUUUUGUUUGCAAAUAAGAGAUUACAUAGUCCAAAUAUCGCUGUGAUUUGAUGUAUGACAUAUAUAUCUAAUAAAACAUGCCUAAAAGAUUCAGAUAGACGUUCUGAUAUCUUGAAUAAAAAUAUUCAUGAAAAUUGAAAUAUUA
Molecule: long non-coding RNA, 1361 nt
Organism: Ostrea edulis (European flat oyster)
Lineage: Eukaryota; Metazoa; Mollusca; Bivalvia; Ostreida; Ostreidae
Exons: 3
Source: RefSeq, a predicted model, not a curated record